This is a non-coding RNA of Vicia faba (fava bean), 300 nucleotides long. Lineage: Eukaryota; Viridiplantae; Streptophyta; Magnoliopsida; Fabales; Fabaceae. The record is from the annotation of a GenBank genome assembly.
AUGAUCUUGUUUACAGGUUGUUUAAACAAAGAAGAAGCACAAGAAAAGUUGGAAGCUCCGCCAAACCAUGACGAUAACAACCCCUGUACACAAAUCUGCAACAUCUCAGACUUAUAUCGCGAUUCCGGACAACUGGCGACGUCCCAAGUCGCACGCACAGAGGCCGCCACCGGCAACUCCCUUCAUCAAAUCCUCACCGACCACUCCAACCCAACUCAAGCACGACACAAAAUCACCACCACCCCUUUAAUCCGCCGAAAAGGGACAAAGGAAGAGCUUCAGCAAAUAAGAAGGAGAUGA